AUUGGGUACACAAAUAAACAAAAG
Molecule: non-coding RNA, 24 nt
Filed under: Arabidopsis thaliana (thale cress)
Lineage: Eukaryota; Viridiplantae; Streptophyta; Magnoliopsida; Brassicales; Brassicaceae
Source: RNAcentral